This 531-nucleotide ribosomal RNA is filed under the name Limosilactobacillus reuteri. Its description in RNAcentral is "bacterial SSU rRNA". It matches the Rfam family "Bacterial small subunit ribosomal RNA", at positions 1 to 495 of the family's 1533-position model. Lineage: Bacteria; Bacillati; Bacillota; Bacilli; Lactobacillales; Lactobacillaceae. The record is from RNAcentral.
UAGAGUUUUGAUCCUGGCUCAGGAUGAACGCCGGCGGUGUGCCUAAUACAUGCAAGUCGUACGCACUGGCCCAACUGAUUGAUGGUGCUUGCACCUGAUUGACGAUGGAUCACCAGUGAGUGGCGGACGGGUGAGUAACACGUAGGUAACCUGCCCCGGAGCGGGGGAUAACAUUUGGAAACAGAUGCUAAUACCGCAUAACAACAAAAGCCACAUGGCUUUUGUUUGAAAGAUGGCUUUGGCUAUCACUCUGGGAUGGACCUGCGGUGCAUUAGCUAGUUGGUAAGGUAACGGCUUACCAAGGCGAUGAUGCAUAGCCGAGUUGAGAGACUGAUCGGCCACAAUGGAACUGAGACACGGUCCAUACUCCUACGGGAGGCAGCAGUAGGGAAUCUUCCACAAUGGGCGCAAGCCUGAUGGAGCAACACCGCGUGAGUGAAGAAGGGUUUCGGCUCGUAAAGCUCUGUUGUUGGAGAAGAACGUGCGUGAGAGUAACUGUUCACGCAGUGACGUAUCCACCAGAAUGCCGAU